Molecule: long non-coding RNA, 78 nt
Organism: Sander lucioperca (pikeperch)
Lineage: Eukaryota; Metazoa; Chordata; Actinopteri; Perciformes; Percidae
Exons: 3
Source: RefSeq, a predicted model, not a curated record
UGAACUUCUGUUUACCUCAGACAUUCCAGGGGCCUCAUUUAUAAAACCUGUUACGCAAGAAAAAGUUGCAUGAAGCAG